Molecule: transfer RNA, 83 nt
Filed under: Verrucomicrobiaceae bacterium
Lineage: Bacteria; Pseudomonadati; Verrucomicrobiota; Verrucomicrobiia; Verrucomicrobiales; Verrucomicrobiaceae
Also listed under: 6 other names
Description: tRNA-Leu
Rfam family: tRNA
About the family: Transfer RNA (tRNA) molecules are approximately 80 nucleotides in length. Their secondary structure includes four short double-helical elements and three loops (D, anti-codon, and T loops).
Source: RNAcentral
GCCGGGAUGGUGGAAUUGGUAGACACGCUAGAUUUAGGAUCUAGUGCCCUUUGGGCGUGCAGGUUCGACCCCUGUUCCCGGUA